GACGAACGCUGGCGGCGUGCUUAACACAUGCAAGUCGAACGCUGAAGCUCAGCUUUUGUUGGGUGGAUGAGUGGCGAACGGGUGAGUAACACGUGAGUAACCUGCCCCCUUCUUUGGGAUAACGCCCGGAAACGGGUGCUAAUACUGGAUAUUCACUGGUCUUCGCAUGGGGGUUGGUGGAAAGGGUUUUUCUGGUGGGGGAUGGGCUCGCGGCCUAUCAGCUUGUUGGUGGGGUGAUGGCCUAGCAAGGCUUUGACGGGUAGCCGGCCUGAGAGGGUGACCGGUCACAUUGGGACUGAGAUACGGCCCAGACUCCUACGGGAGGCAGCAGUGGGGAAUAUUGCACAAUGGGCGCAAGCCUGAUGCAGCGACGCCGCGUGAGGGAUGGAGGCCUUCGGGUUGUGAACCUCUUUCGCUCAUGGUCAAGCCGCAACAAUGGUUGUGGUGAGGGUAGUGGGUAAAGAAGCGCCGGCUAACUACGUG
RNAcentral lists this ribosomal RNA (483 nucleotides) under uncultured bacterium. RNAcentral's name for it is "partial 16S ribosomal RNA". It matches the Rfam family "Bacterial small subunit ribosomal RNA", at positions 28 to 507 of the family's 1533-position model. The record is from RNAcentral.